RNAcentral lists this RNase P RNA (394 nucleotides) under Pseudomonadota bacterium. RNAcentral's name for it is "Proteobacteria bacterium (wastewater metagenome) RNase P RNA component class A". It matches the Rfam family "Bacterial RNase P class A". From Rfam's summary of the family: Ribonuclease P (RNase P) is a ubiquitous endoribonuclease, found in archaea, bacteria and eukarya as well as chloroplasts and mitochondria. Its best characterised activity is the generation of mature 5'-ends of tRNAs by cleaving the 5'-leader elements of precursor-tRNAs. Cellular RNase Ps are ribonucleoproteins. Lineage: Bacteria; Pseudomonadati; Pseudomonadota. The record is from RNAcentral.
ACCAGUAGUUAGGCGAUCGCUGUGUUAUGCAGAGGAAAGUCCGGGCUCCACACAAGCAAGAUGCUGGAUAACGUCCAGCGGGGUAGGCUAAAAGCCUAUUUUAGGGAAAGUGCCACAGAAAAUAUACCGCCAGUUUUAGCUUAAAAGUUAAAGCUGGUAAGGGUGAAAAGGUGCGGUAAGAGCGCACCGUGCAAAUGGCGACAUUUGUUGCAAGGUAAACCCCAUCUGGAGCAAGACCAAAUAGGAGCAAAAGGCUUUUUGCCCGGUGUGUUUGUGCAUCGUUUUUUGCUCGGGUAGGUUGCAUGAGGUGUCAGGUAACUGUCAUCCCAGAGGAAUGAUCGCCCAAAGCACGUAUGUGCUUGGACAGAACCCGGCUUAUAGACUACUGGUUUUU